This 196-nucleotide small nuclear RNA is filed under the name Bos grunniens (domestic yak). RNAcentral's name for it is "U2 spliceosomal RNA (ENSBGRG00000000518.1)". The stretch from base 1 to 142 matches the Rfam family "U2 spliceosomal RNA". From Rfam's summary of the family: U2 is a small nuclear RNA (snRNA) component of the spliceosome (involved in pre-mRNA splicing). Lineage: Eukaryota; Metazoa; Chordata; Mammalia; Artiodactyla; Bovidae. The record is from Rfam by way of RNAcentral.
AUCGCUUGGCCUUUUGGCUAAGAUCAAGUGUAGUAUCUGUUCUUAUCAGUUUAAAAUGAAUGGGCAAGAUCUAUAAGGAAAUGAGGAAAUGCUUAUGACAAGAUGUUAAAUAACAGGAAAACAGAACUUGGAUUUACACAUAUGCACUAUUGAUACCAUGUAUAAAAUAGAUAACUAAUAAGAACAUGGGCUUCCC